Non-coding RNA from Caenorhabditis elegans, 21 nucleotides. Lineage: Eukaryota; Metazoa; Nematoda; Chromadorea; Rhabditida; Rhabditidae. The record is from Ensembl.
UUUAAUGGUGAAAAAUCAGGC